GGCAAGUUUCAUACUAGAUAUUAGAAGUGUUAUAGAUAUAUUUGGCUUGAUACUGUUCUAGGUAACAGUUUGGAAUUUAAGAUGAAUAUUAAACAGUCGAUUUAUGGAGGAAUCAUAGUAUGUACAUGGAUAAAGAAUUUAUUAAAUGAUAGAACAUAGGACUUUCGGUUCCGGACUGGAUGAGAUAGGGAGCUUGCUGUAAGACCUCCAUUCCCACCGCCCCGCAAAAAAACCUUUUCUAGGCCGUUUACAGCCUCCAAAGCCUCCGGGACCAGACCUGCUGCUUCCAUGAUCGGAAUGGAUCGCUUUGUGACCCCUGUGACGCCCGUGACCGCUGCACCUCAGCCUCCGGCUGGUGCCUCAGCAAAGCUAUAGAAACGCCACACGGCUGGGAACACUGCGCCGGAAGCCGCCUCAGACGAGCUCACUCCUGCGCACAAGAAAACGGCUGCAGAUGGCAUAGGCUCCACUGCCUCCCAGGCAACCUGGACGGCUGUGGGAAGCCUGACGCCGGGCGCUGUACAGUGACGUCAUGGCGACUGCAUGCUGCCGGGAAGCCGCGCUCUGGGUGUGUUUGAUUCACUGGUGACUGGUAUCUAUAUAGAAAUCGGUCCCUAUAUUUUUUAUGUUUUUUGGGUGGCUGCUUGGACUGGCCUUUGCCUUUACCACUGUCAUGUUGGCGUGCUCUGGUGGAGCGCCUUGGUGGUGAGGACUCUGGUGAUAUAAUUGGAGUAGUCAUACCAGAACUGCUGCUUGGUUGGUGCUGGGAUCUGAGUGUUUCAUUGAGCAUCUUCCACACAAUCUGCUACUGUAUGGCUGAAGUGGACAUACAUAUCUUUACUGGAUGUGGACAAGGCCAUUUUGCUAGGAUUCCAUUUGAUGUUUUAGUGACUUCGUUUCUUACAAUCAAGAUGAGGGGAGUGUGGUUGGCGUCUUGGAGGUGUGUCCAAAAUUUGGAGUGGUGGGACCAAAGAAACUGUAGACAAUCUUCGUGGCAGGGUAGACUGCUGUGGUUGGAACUUUACAUCAGACCUUGCUUUCUUUGUUGGCACAUGUAUUAUUUUUUGGUGUGGUACAGGAGUCCGCCUUCUGCUGCUCAAGACUUCUUUUGAUGGACCUAGUAUUUAAAGUGUAAUUUUGGUAUGGCCAUUCCUUUACAAACAUAACCUAUACUACAAUGGACACUUAACCUGCUUCCGCAACGUCAUCAUCAUCAUCAGAUGUCAUGGGAGUGACUGUAGGACGACGACCAGUACUGCUUUUUUUCAACACUGUAAAUCAUGAAAAAAAUAAAAGAACUCAUUUAUUCAUGCUAUUGUUGAUACA
This is a long non-coding RNA of Pseudophryne corroboree (corroboree frog), 1326 nucleotides long. RefSeq lists it as uncharacterized. Lineage: Eukaryota; Metazoa; Chordata; Amphibia; Anura; Myobatrachidae. The transcript is spliced from 5 exons. The record is from RefSeq and is a predicted model, not a curated record.